GCAAGGGAGACUGUUUCAUCUGGGGAGAGCCAGGUUUCUGUGAUGGUGAGGGUGAUGAAUGACUGAGUCAGGAACAGGUCAAACAUGAAGAGGAGCUUUCCCAAGAUGGAACAGGGAAAGAACACAAGGCAGCUUGUGUUAAGGGGAAAAAAAAACACCUAAAAACAACAUAACAACGAGAAGAAGAUUGUCAAAACAAGACUGAAAGGACAAAAUUAUAUGAAAAAUGACUUUGGUCAGUUCCUGUGAAAGACUACUACUGUGAUGUAAAGAAUAUCAGAACAGAGCCAUCAAUUCUUGGCACUGACAGCACUUGGAUGGAAGAUUUAAAGAGUGUUUUCCUGAAGUCAGCAUCUUCAAUUUAGUUUGAGUAGAAUGAGCCGAGUGUGUAGAUUUGUCUGGAAUUGUUCAGAGGAAUUUUACCACUGUCAUUUUGGAGAGCUUAUUAAUAAACUUUAUUACUAUUUUAA
Long non-coding RNA from Ornithorhynchus anatinus (platypus), 470 nucleotides. RefSeq lists it as uncharacterized. NCBI's taxonomy places the organism in Eukaryota, Metazoa, Chordata, Mammalia, Monotremata, Ornithorhynchidae. The transcript has 2 exons. The record is from RefSeq and is a predicted model, not a curated record.